Molecule: unclassified non-coding RNA, 142 nt
Filed under: uncultured Ascomycota
Lineage: Eukaryota; Fungi; Ascomycota
Description: sequence contains ITS2
Source: RNAcentral
CAACCAUCAAGCACUGCUUGGUAUUGGAUGCAACUUUGCAUAGUGCAUCAUAAAAGCAUUAGCAGCAGCAUUUAGCUUUUAGUGUAGUAAAUUUUCUCACUCUCGAGCUUAGAUGCCUGCUUGCCAGAACUAUCAUUUCAAA